Molecule: long non-coding RNA, 1293 nt
Filed under: Piliocolobus tephrosceles (Ugandan red Colobus)
Lineage: Eukaryota; Metazoa; Chordata; Mammalia; Primates; Cercopithecidae
Description: lncRNA (ENSPTEG00000018641.1)
Source: RNAcentral
CAUUAUAUUUUAGUUAAAUGUAUUUUUUAUGUAAUCUUGUUUUUUAAAAAAAAAAAAUAGCACAUGUUGAAACGAUGUAACAACAUUUUUUUUUAUAAUCAUAUAUGUAUAUAUAUAUAUAUAUAUAUAUAUAUGUAUAUAAUUUUAUUAAAAACUAUUUUUAUUACAUGGAAAAAAAAAAAAAUAAAUAAAAAUGGCAGAAAGAUAUCCUUAUGAUCCUUCACACAAUUUACAAAAUAUAACGCAUUUAGUUGAGAAUGCGAUGGAUACAAAUGAAACUAAUUUAACUUUGUUAAGUAGUACUAUAAGUAGCAUAACAGAGUCUAAUAAUAGUUCAGUUGGCAAUGUUACUAUUAGUUUGUUUAAUGAUUUAAUCGAAUCUGUUCGACAUGAAUCCAUGCCACAUAGUAUAGAGAGAUUAACUGGAAAUAUAACUGAUACUCCCAUCACAACAACUGAAAAUAAUGAUGAAAUAUUACUACUUGUCAUAAUAUUUUUAGUUACAUUAUUGUUUAUCAUUCUAUUUUUAUAUAUACUUUAUCAGCAAAAGGAAACACUGAAAAGAUUAUUUCGUGAUAUGAAACGUGAUGUAGUAUUUUCUUUAAAAUAUUGUAUAAAGACACUUGACCCAGAAAACAAUUUGCAAGAUGAUACUGAUACGUCGACACAACAACCAGUAGUGACAACUACAAUGACAAAUUUAGAAUUUGAAGAAGAUGAGAAAAACAUAAACAAUCACAAUAGUGAUGCGUAUGAUGUUAAAGAAUGUAGUCUUAUAACUACUGAUAUAACAACAAUCGCACGUUCAAAUUGUAGGUUAAGCACUGCGUCACAUUCUGCUAACGAUGGUGGAAAAAUUGAUUCCGUCACAUUACUUGGUGCAUUUCAACUUGGACCAAAUGAUGAUAUGGAAAUUGCUCAUAAUAGUUCUGAUGAUGGUUUUGAUGAUGAUGCUGUUGAUGUUGGUGCUGUUGGUGUUGAUGUUGGUGCUGUUGGUGUUGAUGUUGGUGCUGUNNNNNNNNNNGCUGUUGGUGUUGAUGUUGGUGCUGUUGGUGUUGAUGUUGGUGCUGUGAAUGUUGAGAUUGAUCUUACCGUUGGUUCGGAUGAUGAUGUUAAUGUUGAUUCCGAUGAUGAUGGUGAUUAUGGUGAUGAUGGUGAUGAUGGUGAUGAUGGUGAUGAUGGUGAUGGUGAUGAUGGUGAUGACAAUAAUUAUGGUAUUGUUAAUUUUUUUGACGCUUAUUCUGGUUCUGAUGGUUCUGAUGGUUCUGAUGGUGAUGGUGAUGGUGAUGGUGA